UUGAAUGAACUUGGUGUGGUUGUUGCUGGCCCUUUUGGGGGCAUGUGCACACCCACCAUCCUCAUCUCUCCACCUGUGCACCUCUUGUAGACUUGGGGAUAGAUUUUCCGAGGCAACUCGGUCUGGAGGAAUGCUACCAAGCUUUCUUUGUAUUUAUUUCCUGGUCUAUGUUUUUUUCAUAUACCCCUUAGCAUGUAACAGAAUGAAUGAUUUGGGCCUUUGUGCCCAUAAACCCUUAUA
This 240-nucleotide unclassified non-coding RNA is filed under the name uncultured Cortinariaceae. RNAcentral describes it as "sequence contains ITS1". The record is from RNAcentral. Lineage: Eukaryota; Fungi; Basidiomycota; Agaricomycetes; Agaricales; Cortinariaceae.